RNAcentral lists this signal recognition particle RNA (299 nucleotides) under Saimiri boliviensis boliviensis (Bolivian squirrel monkey). RNAcentral describes it as "Metazoan signal recognition particle RNA (ENSSBOG00000004870.1)". It matches the Rfam family "Metazoan signal recognition particle RNA". Rfam says of the family: The signal recognition particle (SRP) is a universally conserved ribonucleoprotein. It is involved in the co-translational targeting of proteins to membranes. The eukaryotic SRP consists of a 300-nucleotide 7S RNA and six proteins: SRPs 72, 68, 54, 19, 14, and 9. The record is from RNAcentral. Lineage: Eukaryota; Metazoa; Chordata; Mammalia; Primates; Cebidae.
GCCGGGAGCAGUUGUGCGCGCCUGUAGUCCCAGCUACUCGGGAGGCUGAGGUGGGAGGAUCACUUGAGCCCAGGAGUUCUGGGCUGUAGUGCGCUAUGCCGACCGGGUGUCCGCACUAAGUUUGGCAUCAAUAUAGUGACCUCUCGGAAGCGGGGGACCACCAGGUUGCUUAAGGAGGGGUGAACCAGCCCAGGUUGGAAACGGAGCAGGUCAAAACUCCGGUGCUGAUCUGUAGUGGGAUCACACCUGUGAAUAGCCACUGCACUCCCGCCUGGGCAACAUAGCAAGACCCCGUCUCU